This is a long non-coding RNA of Xenia sp. Carnegie-2017, 937 nucleotides long. RefSeq lists it as uncharacterized. Lineage: Eukaryota; Metazoa; Cnidaria; Anthozoa; Malacalcyonacea; Xeniidae. The transcript has 4 exons. The record is from RefSeq and is a predicted model, not a curated record.
GCAGGAUUUAGAUACUUCACUGUGGAGUAAUGAGAAAAAUUCGUUUCUCGGCCUGCCUUCGUCAACCGCAGAAUCUUCCUACACAUGUACGUACCAUAUGUACGAUAACAUAUGUACGUACCUUCUCAGCAGCAGAGAUUGAUGGAGAACUAUUUCUAACAUUGACUAGAGAAGAGUUUAGUGACAUGUUUAAGAAUCUUGGACAAAAGCGUACUGCUAUUGCAGUUUGUUCGAAACUUUCUGGCAUGGUGUUUGAUUCCAAUGGAAAUCCCAUGCCUCAACAGAAAAAAAGCUCUGAUUCAUCUACUUCUGCCUCAUGUACUAUUUUCCAAGAAUUGCAUGAAGUCAUUAUUUCACACUCUCCAGAAUUGAAAAAAAGAAAAAAGCACCAGGUUAUAAGCUCUUCGGACAUAUCUGAUAAAAAAUAAAUUUACUUGUCUUUUACUACUUUUAAAUGAGAGCUUUCUUUUAUAGGGAUCUAUUGAGAUGAAAAUCUAUAACCGAUUCAAAAAUUGCAAAGAAAGAAAUCUAACACGCCUGUUACCAAUGUCUCGCAAACUAAAGGCAAAACAACAAAGAAAAGGAACAGUCACUGUUGGACGAACGUUCCCGAGCCAUGCGAAAUAUGAAGAUCUUACAGCAGUGAUAUCAAAAAUAAAAAAGGAGUGGCAGUCAGCUAAAAAGGAUCAUGAAAAAAUUCAGGAGUUGAUGGCUGCAUGCUAUGCUUCAAGGAGAUCACUUGUCUUGGAAGACGUCAGAAGAAUAGUGGAAGUUGUUGAAAUGUUCUCUCCUUUAAAAAAUCUGCUAUACAUCAAGGCUGAAUUUGCAAAAGUUAUGGGGAAUAAAGACGUAGCUACACAGGUAAAGGAAAACUUCAACAAAGUCUGGCGUCACAGGUUGUUGCAAUUUGCUGAGAAAAACGAUGGUAAACAUUCAG